UCGGUCUCUAUCUAUCGUGGGCGUAAGAUAUUUGCGGGGUCCUGACACUAGUACGAGAGGACCGUGUUGGACGAACCCCUGAUGUACCGGUUGUUCCGCCAGGAGCAUAGCCGGGUAGUUAAGUUCGGAUAGGAUAAGUGCUGAAAGCAUCUAAGUACGAAGCCUGCCCUAAGAUUAGAUAUCUAUGAGGGUCGUUGUAGACUACGACGUUGAUAGGCUGCAAGUGUAAAGGCAGUAAUGUCAAAGCUGAGCAGUACUAAUUGCCCGAAACUUUUUUAAA
Molecule: ribosomal RNA, 280 nt
Filed under: Tannerella sp.
Lineage: Bacteria; Pseudomonadati; Bacteroidota; Bacteroidia; Bacteroidales; Tannerellaceae
Description: partial 23S ribosomal RNA
Rfam family: Bacterial large subunit ribosomal RNA
Source: RNAcentral